This 908-nucleotide ribosomal RNA is filed under the name uncultured Pseudomonadota bacterium. Its description in RNAcentral is "bacterial SSU rRNA". It matches the Rfam family "Bacterial small subunit ribosomal RNA", at positions 55 to 938 of the family's 1533-position model. The record is from RNAcentral. Lineage: Bacteria; Pseudomonadati; Pseudomonadota.
AUGCAGGUCGAACGCGAAAGUCCCCUUCGGGGGACUAGUAGAGUGGCGUCCGGGUGAGUAACACGUAGGUAAUCUACCUUCGGGUGGGGAAUAACGCAGGGAAACUUGCGCUAAUACCGCAUAAUGCAGCGGCACCACAUGGUGACAGUUGUUAAAGCGGGGGAUUUUCGAACCUCGCGCCUGAAGAGGAGCCUGCGGCAGAUUAGCUAGUUGGUAAGGUAAUGGCUUACCAAGGCGACGAUCUGUAACCGGCCUGAGAGGGCGGUCGGUCACACUGACACUGACAUACGGGUCAGACUCCUACGGGAGGCAGCAGUCGGGAAUUUUGGGCAAUGGGCGAAAGCCUGACCCAGCAACGCCGCGUGAAGGAUGAAAUCCCUCGGGAUGUAAACUUCGCAAGAAUGGGAAGAAUGAGUAGGGGCUAAUACUCCCUAUGAUGACGGUACCAUUUGUAAGCUCCGGCUAACUCCGUGCCAGCAGCCGCGGUAAUACGGGGGGAGCAAGCGUUGUUCGGAUUUACUGGGCGUAAAGGGCGCGUAGGCGGCCAGCGCAAGUCAGUUGUGAAAUCUCCGGGCUUAACUCGGAACGGUCAACUGAUACUGCGCGGCUAGAGUGCGGAAGGGGCAACUGGAAUUCUCGGUGUAGCGGUGAAAUGCGUAGAUUUCGAGAGGAACACCUGCGGCGAAGGCGGGUUGCUGGGCCGACACUGACGCUGAUGCGCGAAAGCCAGGGGAGCGAACGGGAUUAGAUACCCCGGUAGUCCUGGCCUUAAACGAUGGGAUGCUUGGUGUCUGGAGUUUUAUAGUCUCCGGGUGCCGCAGCUAACGCGUUAAGCAUCCCGCCUGGGGAGUACGGUCGCAAGACUGAAACUCAAAGGAAUUGACGGGGACCCGCACAAGCGGUGGAGC